Long non-coding RNA from Vidua chalybeata, 723 nucleotides. RefSeq lists it as uncharacterized. The transcript is spliced from 3 exons. The record is from RefSeq and is a predicted model, not a curated record. Lineage: Eukaryota; Metazoa; Chordata; Aves; Passeriformes; Viduidae.
CCGAGGCCGCGGGGCGGGGGCAGCUCCGGCCCGGUCCCACCGGGAUCGCGCCGGCCCCGCUCCGCCAGCGGGAGCGGCGCCACCCGCGCAACCGGAGGGGACGGAGCUGGCAGAGAGAUGACAUUCCUGCCUGGAACAGUUACAGCUGCAGUGGGAAUGGAGAGCUAUCCUCAUAUGGCUGUGAGCACGCAAUGCUGAUGGGCAAGUUAAGUGUCCUUAGCCACCCCUUCUCUCUCUGCGGUAAAUUCACCUUGUGGGCGCAGGCUCCCGGAAUACGAAGCUGCCGCUGCGCUCGUGCUGCUCACAGCUGUGCUGCUAUCACUGUGCUGGUACAGUUGUGAGUGCUAGAACACACGCCUUGAACAGCUAGAAAACUCCUGCAGCAAGAGAAACUGCCAUUUUCACUCAAGAGGACCCUAGGUCAGUCAGGAGCCUCCCACUCCCAUAAGCCCUGAGAAGCUCCCGGAAGCUGACACCAGUGAAGCACUGAGGAGCAGAAGAGUCUGUGGGUAACCUGCUGGAAACCAGGGACUAUCCGUGGUGUGGCCUUCUCCCAAAUCUACCCAUAACAGUGGUCUGUCAGUGCUGGUAACAUCUCAGCACCCAAAGAGCCCACUGCUUUUGUCAGACCUGGAUGGACAAAGUGGAAGGCAAGUUUGAUGAAUAAGUAUUGCACUAUUAUAUUAAAUAAAUUGUAGGCUGGCCAUUUUUGUUACAGAUUAA